Molecule: ribosomal RNA, 326 nt
Filed under: Cercozoa sp.
Lineage: Eukaryota; Cercozoa
Description: SSU rRNA
Rfam family: Eukaryotic small subunit ribosomal RNA
Source: RNAcentral
CUGACCUGUUUUAAUACAAUGGCCGGCCACGGUUUCGUGUGCUUCGUGCUUUGUGUUCGGGUCAUCCUUCCAAUCGCUCUGUUGGUUUCUCUUCAUUGAGAGACGAACAUGGGCAUUGGAUCUUUUACUUUGAAAAAAUUAGAGUGUUUCAAGCAGGCUUUUGCUAUGAAUACAUUAGCAUGGAAUAAUAAUUUAGGACUUCGGUUCUAUUUUGUUGGUUUCUAGGACUGAAGUAAUGAUUGAUAGGGAUAGUUGGGGGUGCUAGUAUUCAGCGGCCAGAGGUGAAAUUCUCGGAUUCGCUGAAGACUAACUUAUGCGAAAGCAUU